UUCUAGCUACAGGCUUAACACAUGCAAGUCGAGGGGCAGCAUGGUCUUAGCUUGCUAAGGCCGAUGGCGACCGGCGCACGGGUGAGUAACACGUAUCCAACCUGCCGUCUACUCUUGGACAGCCUUCUGAAAGGAAGAUUAAUACAAGAUGGCAUCAUGAGUCCGCAUGUUCACAUGAUUAAAGGUAUUCCGGUAGACGAUGGGGAUGCGUUCCAUUAGAUAGUAGGCGGGGUAACGGCCCACCUAGUCUUCGAUGGAUAGGGGUUCUGAGAGGAAGGUCCCCCACAUUGGAACUGAGACACGGUCCAAACUCCUACGGGAGGCAGCAGUGAGGAAUAUUGGUCAAUGGGCGAGAGCCUGAACCAGCCAAGUAGCGUGAAGGAUGACUGCCCUAUGGGUUGUAAACUUCUUUUAUAAAGGAAUAAAGUCGGGUAUGGAUACCCGUUUGCAUGUACUUUAUGAAUAAGGAUCGGCUAACUCCGUGCCAGCAGCCGCGGUAAUACGGAGGAUCCGAGCGUUAUCCGGAUUUAUUGGGUUUAAAGGGAGCGUAGAUGGAUGUUUAAGUCAGUUGUGAAAGUUUGCGGCUCAACCGUAAAAUUGCAGUUGAUACUGGAUAUCUUGAGUGCAGUUGAGGCAGGCGGAAUUCGUGGUGUAGCGGUGAAAUGCUUAGAUAUCACGAAGAACUCCGAUUGCGAAGGCAGCCUGCUAAGCUGCAACUGACAUUGAGGCUCGAAAGUGUGGGUAUCAAACAGGAUUAGAUACCCUGGUAGUCCACACGGUAAACGAUGAAUACUCGCUGUUUGCGAUAUACAGCAAGCGGCCAAGCGAAAGCGUUAAGUAUUCCACCUGGGGAGUACGCCGGCAACGGUGAAACUCAAAGGAAUUGACGGGGGCCCGCACAAGCGGAGGAACAUGUGGUUUAAUUCGAUGAUACGCGAGGAACCUUACCCGGGCUUAAAUUGCAGAUGAAUUACGGUGAAAGCCGUAAGCCGCAAGGCAUCUGUGAAGGUGCUGCAUGGUUGUCGUCAGCUCGUGCCGUGAGGUGUCGGCUUAAGUGCCAUAACGAGCGCAACCCUUGUUGUCAGUUACUAACAGGUUCCGCUGAGGACUCUGACAAGACUGCCAUCGUAAGAUGUGAGGAAGGUGGGGAUGACGUCAAAUCAGCACGGCCCUUACGUCCGGGGCUACACACGUGUUACAAUGGGGGGUACAGAGGGCCGCUACCACGCGAGUGGAUGCCAAUCCCCAAAACCUCUCUCAGUUCGGACUGGAGUCUGCAACCCGACUCCACGAAGCUGGAUUCGCUAGUAAUCGCGCAUCAGCCACGGCGCGGUGAAUACGUUCCCGGGCCUUGUACACACCGCCCGUCAAGCCAUGGGAGCCGGGGGUACCUGAAGUGCGUAACCGCGAGGAGCGCCCUAGGGUAAAACUGGUGACUG
RNAcentral lists this ribosomal RNA (1439 nucleotides) under uncultured organism. RNAcentral describes it as "SSU rRNA". It matches the Rfam family "Bacterial small subunit ribosomal RNA". The record is from RNAcentral.